RNAcentral lists this ribosomal RNA (474 nucleotides) under uncultured Acidovorax sp. RNAcentral's name for it is "bacterial SSU rRNA". It matches the Rfam family "Bacterial small subunit ribosomal RNA", at positions 907 to 1382 of the family's 1533-position model. The record is from RNAcentral. Lineage: Bacteria; Pseudomonadati; Pseudomonadota; Betaproteobacteria; Burkholderiales; Comamonadaceae.
GAAUUGACGGGGACCCGCACAAGCGGUGGAUGAUGUGGUUUAAUUCGAUGCAACGCGAAAACCUUACCCACCUUUGACAUGUACGGAACCCUUUAGAGAUAGAGGAGUGCUCGAAAGAGAACCGUAACACAGGUGCUGCAUGGCUGUCGUCAGCUCGUGUCGUGAGAUGUUGGGUUAAGUCCCGCAACGAGCGCAACCCUUGUCAUUAGUUGCUACAUUCAGUUGGGCACUCUAAUGAGACUGCCGGUGACAAACCGGAGGAAGGUGGGGAUGACGUCAAGUCCUCAUGGCCCUUAUAGGUGGGGCUACACACGUCAUACAAUGGAUGGUACAAAGGGUCGCCAACCCGCGAGGGGGAGCCAAUCCCAUAAAGCCAUUCGUAGUCCGGAUCGCAGUCUGCAACUCGACUGCGUGAAGUCGGAAUCGCUAGUAAUCGUGGAUCAGAAUGUCACGGUGAAUACGUUCCCGGGUCUU